GCUAAUGUUAAGCAAAAUGCCUUAUCGGUUAAUGAUCAUCAUUAAAUGUGUCACGUUAAGUGACACCGUGACACAUAAACGUGUAUGCCACACUAUAAAAGCACUAAACGCACAAAAUACAACGUAUAAUCUAAAAUUAAAAUCUAGAAGAAGAAAAAAAAUACUCUUUCAUUCAGUUAACCCUAACAUUUCCUAAAAAAAAAACCCUUAUUAUCCCUUCUAUCUUCUUUGUCCGUAUCUUUUUCCGGCCACUAUGGUUUGCUUCAAAGUCUCCGGCCAUCGCUUUUGUCUUCAAAAUCUCCAGACGUUACCUUCGAAAUCAUCAUCAUUUGAGGUAAGUUUUCUUUGUCUUCGUAUAAUGCAUUCAAAAUUGACAUUUGUAUCAUUGGUUGAUGCAUUUGAAGUUUGCAUUUUGCUCAUUUAACAAUUUGUAUUGAUGAUUUCAAAGUUUUAUCAUUUGUGACAGUAAUAAUUUGAGAAUUUGGGGAUUUGAUGAUUUUAAGAUUUGAGAGUUUAAGAAUAAGAAGAAAAAAAAUAGAGAAGAAGAAUUAGCCGCUAGCCUCUUUAAUGUUCCUAUUUACUCUUAAAAUAUUCUUUGUGAUGUGUCAUCCAUGUUUAUGUGUCACAAUGUCACUUAACAUAACACAUCAACACCUCUAACAUUUGCUCAUUGAUAGAGGGAAUAUUUUAUUUGGUGUUAGACAAAAUUGAAAAGUUUUUUCAUGAAGCGUAAAUUUCAAGGAGUUUUUCUACAUACAGUUACAAUUUUAGGAAGUGAAGUUUUCUUUUUUAAUAUAAGCCCCAAAAAAGAUAAUCAAUGCUAUUAAAAAAAUUAUAAUGAAUUUUUGUAUUGAGUGGAGGGCUGGACUCAAAGAAGUUAGUUGAGUUUGAUGAAAAAUAUAUGUGUUCGGAAAAUAAAGAAUUAGAGAAAUUUAAAUAACUAUUAAAACAUAAAAAAAAAAUUAACAUGGAAGUUCUAAAAUCACGACUGUUGUUAAACGACAACUAGAGAAUAACACUGUGUGAAAAUUAUUAUAGUAUAUAGACUUCUCGCACUCUUCAAAGUAAAUAUUUGAACUAUAUCUCACAACAUUUUAAUACAAGAAUAGAAAAUAAAAGAAAAAAGUCAGAUACAUGCUUAAAGUAUUUUUGAAUAAUGCGAGUUAGAGAGAAAAAUAAAAUAGAACCAUAUAUAUAAUAUUAAAUUCCCUCUUUCUUUAUGAUUCUAAACAAUUUAAAACUUUUUCAAAUUCUUAAUUUCAAUCAAACCUAACCGUAUGCCUUCCAAGCAUCUUAGAGGAUAAUUAGGGGAUUAAGGAUCUUCAAAAUAUUAGGAGUUUUGAGUUGAGUUAUACUCAUACAAGCUGUAUUCCAUGGAGAGACUUUCAUACAAGGUCUAUUUGGUGGAGGAACAAAAUUUCCAUUGAUCAUUUUGUUGAUAGAUAUAUAAACUAAUUGUUUCUUAUGUUUUUAAUUUAAGAGAAUCAAAAUAAAAUAAAUUUAAAAAAAAAAUCAAAAAAUAAUUUAAAGAAUUAAAAAUGUAGUUUAUCCUAUUAACUAGAGGGUAAAAAGUGAAGGAAAAAAAUUAAUAUUAUAUUAAAAUUUAAAAGUGACAUUCAUUGUGAUUUUUUUUUUUUAAAUGUGACUCUCAUUGAUUUGAGAAUGACGUUGAAAUUAAAUAAAAUAUGAAAGAAGAUAUAAAAUGGAGAUAAUAAUAAUAAUAAUAAUAAUAAUAAUAAUAAUAAUAAUAAUAAUAAUAAUAAUAAUAAUAAUAAUUUUGAAACAGAACAAAUUCAUAGAAGUAAUAUUUGUAUCAAAUUUAUUUAUUUUUCAAAAACUCAAAAUAUCAAUAUGAAAUUGUGAAAUGUGAACACAUUGAACGCAUUGAACGCAUUUGAGCAAGCAGAUAAAAAGUACUACUGAUAUUUUUAGAUGCAGUUAAAGACACGUAGUCCACAAAAGUCAUAGCAAUGGACAUUUACUUAUUUGGAAAGAUGAAUGCACCAUUUUGAGUAUCACUUGUAUUAUUUCUAACACCAUAUGAAUUUAUUCUAUUUUUCAUUUUCUAAAACUAAUAAAAUUUUAAAGAGAUAUACUUAAUUGAGCACAAUCUUAAAUUAAAAAUAUUUAGAUACCCUCACACAAAUAAAAAAAAUUAAAUAAUAAAACUAAAUUAUUUCUCUUUUAAUUAUUUUUAUUUGUGUGAGCUCAAACACCAUUUUUAAAAUACAAACAAAAUUAAAGUACACCGUAUUCAAAAUCACAUUUUUUAUUUCAAGAAUAUUUUCUAUUUGAGAUAGAAGUACUGAACAUAAAAGCACAAGCUCUGCAAGCUUGCUUUUUCUAGUUUUGCUUUUUAGGCAAGUAGGUGAAAAGCAGUAAUUAUUAAAUAGGUAAGAGCAUUGAACCGUAUGAUAAAAUUCAAAUUUUGCACAGUAACAAUGUUGUACAACUUGUACUAAUUUGUUUGUCUAAAAAAAAAACUUGUACUAAUUUGUUUUUGACUCUAACAUACAUUGAAUCUAAAAGAGAGUCUUUAUUUUGAAUUUAAGACAUUCCUACUGGAAGAUGGAGUAAUUAAAUUGCAAGAGGAUGUAGUCUUAUGACUCAUCACAUUAGCCGAAACUAGCUAAUUACUUGCAAAGUGAUUUAGUUACAACAUUUUUAGCCAAAUCUAAGUAUAGUAAUUUUUUAUAUAUAAAAAUUAUGAUAAAUACUACCAUAAAAAUUACAUAUAAUUUAUUUACGAAGUUUUUAAUUCAAACUAUAAAUAAAAUAUUUAUUUAAUAAAAUUGAUAUUUUUUAAUUGAGUUAAAACUUAAAGAUAUAUACAUAAAAUUUUACCAUAUUAAAUAUAUGUUCAAAGAACAAAUCAGUAAUUGAACCAUUUUUGAAAAAAAUAUCCUACGUUGUCUUCCAGUAUAGUAAAAGAGGAUGAAUGUCAAUAUAAUGUUAUUUUUUAUUAUAAUUUAUUUAUAUUAUAACUUAUUUAAAUAGUAGAAGUUAUUUUUAAUUCGUUUUUAUGUAUUAAAACAAUUCAUUUUAACAUUCAAUAUCCUAUAUAUUUAUUAAUAGAGAUUUUAAUAUUAAUGAUAUAUAAAAAUAACAUAUUUUUUUUAGUAAAAAACGUAUUUCUAAAAAAUGAUUAUUAUAAAAAGCUUCUUAUUUUAAAUAUUGUUUGAAAUUUUAUUAUUAAAAAAAAUUAUAACAAAUAGAUGCAAUAAUUAAAAAGAUAUUUUAUAAUAAAUUAUUUAAAUUAAUUUUUUAUUUAAAACUUUAUUUUAAAAGCAUUAUAACAAAAAAAAAAAUAGAAUAUUAUAAAAAUUAAGUUUCUAAAAAGAUUGUAACAAAUGGACUCAAUAUUGUUUUAGAAUUAUAUUAUGAGAUGUAAUUAUAUAUUUACUUUGAAAAAUAAGAUUAUAUUAACGGACAUAAUCCAGCGUCAUGUAUCCCUCUUACUUAUUUAUGUUGUUACAAGUAAUUAAAUAAUUUUGUCUAUAUUCUUAUUUUAGUUUUGUCUGGCACCUCUCUCACUAUUUUAUAUUAUUUUUUAGAGAUUUUUUUUUUUAAAAGGAAGUUAUAUUGAGUUUGUUUAUUUUUAUAAUAAAAAUCACUAUUUUAAAAAAUAAAUUAUGAAUUUUUUUAUAAACUAUUAAAUACAAAUUUUGUUUUAGAUAUAAUUGAAAAAAUAAUUCUUCAAAUUCGCAUUGUUUUUUCAAAAAGUUAUAACAAACAUAUGCUAACUUUUGAAAAUAAUUAUUUUGUUAAAAAAUAUAUUUUUGCUUAUGAAAUGAGCGGUAACAAAUGGCCUCUUUAUUACGCCCUAAAUCAGAACUCGCAAUAGCGUCCACAUAUUUUUUUUUAAUGUUUUUUUAUUUUAUAAAUAUUUUUUGGGACCUUAUCUUAACAAUGGGGAUUUUGAGUUUUUUCAAUACAAUUUGUCAUGUUCAGUAUUACUGAAUUUGAUAAAUGUGUAUAAAUUGUAGGUAACUCAAGUCAAUUAUAUUGAUUUUUGAUACUACAUUAAAUUUUUAUAAUGAAUUUAAUUUAUAUUCUUACAAAAUUAAUUUAUAAAAUGAGAGUGUCUUUCUUUAUAAAUUCAUUUAAAGUUUUAUUUUUUAAUUUUUUUUUGUAAUUUGAAUUUUUUAAAUAAAUGCUUUUUAAAAUAUUAUUAUUCAUCACUGCAUUUUAUCAAUUUUUAAUCCCACCUUUUAUAAAAAUAGGUGCUUAUGACAAUUCGUGAUAUUUAUGUUCUCACAGAGAAGUACUAAAAACACCUUUUUUUUAAUAAAAAGUGUGGAUUAGAUGGAAAUAUUUUUAGAGUGAUUCUAAAUUAUACAAAUGAUUUUUAAAAGAAAUAAAAAGAAUAAUAUUUUAUCUUAUUAUAAAUAUUAAUUAAAAAAUCAAUUCUGAAUUUAAAAAAAAUCCUGAAUUAAUAUAUAUUAAAAUAAUUUAUCAUAUAACCUGAUUGUUUUUCGUUUUUUCAUUUUACUAUUUUGUAUAUGAUCUAACUUUAAAAGUUCCACAAUUUUAUAGAGAUUUAAACAUAUUUCCCUUUUUUUUUUUUACAAAAUUUAGUGGUUGGUUUGGGUGUUGAUCGAACAAGAACUAAAAAAAAUCAGACAAGAGAAGGAAAUCGAUCAAAGAAGUACGUGUCCCUCAUGGCUCGUGUCGUUGUCAAAGAAGUACAUGCUUGGAAAUCGGUCAUGUUUUGCUGUGUUCUAGUUCAUUCGGUUUUCAUGCACUUUCUACUAUUUAGGUGUGUGGUGCUACAACCAAAUCCUAUUGUGUCUAUUAAUUAUCAAACAUGUUGGCUAUAAACUCUAGUGUCAAUAUAUUUUGUAUAAAUGAUUAUUUAUUAUGACUUUAGAUUAUAUAUCUAAUUUUGUUUAUAUAUAUACAUCAGUUAUUAUCACUUAUUAUGUUAUUAUCUGGAAUAUAAUAAUAUUCUUAUAAUAGAUAAUUUGUUCAAUAGAAAAUCAUACGUUAUUUGAUCGUAAAAUUAUAUUUUUAAAAUAUCUAUUGUCAAAAUAUUAUUGUUAAUUAUGACGAUAAUAGUACAUACAAACUAUGAUGUGAGUAAACUGAUGAAUAUCUCACGUUUGAUGAAUAUGAGAUAUCAAAUUUUCGCAUAGAUUUAAAUAUUAUGAGUAAUAUUUGUACUAGAUUGACCCACAAUGAGAAUGUUGUAUAAUUUUUGUGUAAGUGUCAUUAUUGAUUCUCAUGCGAUCAUAGUGAGUAAUGUUUCGACUUGAAAUCACUACGAUUCAUACAUAGGGAGUUGAAGAUUUUAAGACCAUCAAACAUUAUUUGUAGCAAGACAAUCAUAAAGGUGGUUAUUGAGUAUGCAACAAACCAUGUGAAGGGGUGUGAAUGGUAUAGAUCAAAUAUGUCUCUUCUACAUAAUAGGAGUUAUGUCUUGUGUCUCGAGAUAGUGUAAGACUGUGGAAAUGCAUGGACGUGCUAGAAUGAACCAAUAUGUGAUAUUGAGUCCAUUAUUAUUUAUGCAUCUACUAUAGGAUGCGAAAUAGAUAAUUGGACAUUACAAGGGUGAAACACAUUAUAAUUUGCAUUCAAUAAGAUAUUUAGACGAUAGACAAUUACAACACAAUAAAUUAUGGUCAUGAUAAAGUUAAAUUCGGAUCAUCACUUUUUUCAUUAAUUAAGUAUCAUCACUUCGUAACUAAAUUAAGUAUCACCUCAUUGUUUAUAAUAUUUAAUAUUUUAAAUUAUUGCUAGUUUAGUGGAAACUUAUAGUGUCAAACACAUAGAGCGAUUAAUCAUAGAAUUGAUAUUUAAUUAAAUAAUCAGUGAAUUGAGUUUGUAAUAUAUGAGGCAUAAUAAGGCUAAGUGAAACAGAAGAUAAAGGGCAUAAAAGAGUGAGUUGUUGUGCCUUCCUUAAUUUAGUUACGAAGAUAUACAUUAUUGUGUCUCUACCUAUAUAUAGAUGUCAAUUAGCACGAUGCUCUUUAAUGGUGAUCUUUCACGUGGAUUUAGUAGAGGUGUUGCGCUUUUGUGGCAUUGUUGAUCAUCACAUUGACGCUUUAAGAGGUAAACACAUGAUCUUACAACGAAUCUUGUAAUUCUAAGUGAUCUUGACAAAAGGAAAUUUUUCUCUCUUGAGAAUUAUUUUAAUUUUUUUAAAAAAAGGACUAUCUCUUAAUUCUCCAUAAGAUGUCCAUCUACUCUAAACAAACUUACAAGAUAUGAUAAGACAAAUAAUACAUUGCAAGAUCAAUCUAUGUUGAAUCAAUCGCGUUCAAAUUCGGUUGAUGAUAAGGUCUAGUCUUUUUCUUUUGCACAAGUUUUACAAAAAAUAUGUGAGAUUCCUUAUCUGAGUUUCCCAAACAAUGCAUUAAAAGCGAUUGAUUGACAAUUCACAUUCCUGAGGAAGAAUAUCAAGUAGGGUUAGGGUUUUGCAAGAAUCACCUUUAUUGCAUUUGGUUCAAGAAAUGUAUUUUGAGUCAAGAAAAUUGUCUUAAUCUAAAUUGACGUAAUCAAAUAAGUUAGAUUGUUAAAAACAGUGAAUUAAUAAUUACAUAAUAACAAUAAGGUGAUUUAAAUUCCUAAUAGUUUUCCUCGUAAUUUCUAUCUUGUUAAAUUUUAUUUUGUUAUACUCAAACAAUCAUUUACCAAUUUUUUUACUCAGUUAAGUGUUUACAAUUUGUUACGUAGUUAAAUUAAUAAAAGUUUAUAUGGAGACGAUUUUCUCGAUACACUUGUCAAAUAAUUGCCAUUUAUUUUGCUCUUUGUUAUAUGAGUGUAAUUAUUUUCAUCGUUGUGGUUUUGUUUGUUUUGGCUAUGCGAGAGUUUUUAUCUAAGUGUUUCUAUUUUUAGUAUGGAUUAUGAGUUAACUUUAAUCCUUCACCAUGGUGGAUGUUUCAAUUGGUUUGGUGAUAAUGACUUACAAUAUAUAGAAGGAAUAAAGUGUUUGUAGGAGGAUAUUUAUAGUGAUUAGGAUUUCUUCGAUUUGAAUGAAAUUGAAAAAUUGUAGUUUAGUUUUCGUGUCAAUUUGGUCUCUUAUCAUUAAACGAUGCAACAUAUGAGUAUCAUGUGUCAAAAAUUAUGUCACGUCUUCACAAGAAACAAAAAAGAAAUUCGCAUUCAUUGUUAAGGAAUAUGUUGAUUAACGGAGAAUUAAUUGAGAGAGUAAAAAAAUUCAUUAAUGUUGAUGUCGAGACAAAUUCUAUAUUUAAAGUUUUGAUAAAAAUAAACAAAAGUUAAUUAAGAAAGUUAAUUAUGAUUCUAAAAUGUUAUGUUAAUUUAACAUGUGUUUUUGAGUGGAUUUAAUUAAGAACAAAAUCAAGCAAAACAGAAAAGACAGCAACAAGAUCAUUCUGCAUCAAAACAGAGAAUGAUCUCCAGCUUCAAAAAUUGUCCAUCACAGCAUAUUGGUCAAAUUUUUUCUAUCUCUUUAACAAAGAGUCUGCCCUGGAAAUUUAUUCAUAACUAAUCAGUACAUGGCAAGUAACAAGCAGGAUUCAUCCAAGCUCAAAAAGGCUAUUUAUCUCAAAAAUAAAAGGACUCAAAGACAGACAAAAGUCUGACAGUUUGCAAACUCCAAAAAUCAAAUGUCAAGAAAGUUCGAUCAAUCUUGACAUAUGACAAGACAAUUGCAAAGGAAAUCCAGAAUGAUUAAAACGGGAACUCCAGAAUGAUUAUUGAAGCUCAAGAAAGUUCAAACUGACAAACCAAGAACGUUAAUCAUUCUCCGUUUUCUGCACAAUAACAGCAGCACUGCAUCUCAUAUGAAAUAGCAUGUAAUUCCUCUCCAAACUUCUCUAGCUACACUCAAGACUCAAGACAGAGAAUGUACCAUCCAAGAUCAAUGAAGAAACGUCAAGAAGUCAAAAAGUCAAAAAGUUAUUUCAAAGAAGGAUUAUUUUUAUUCUGAAAUAAUGUUUUAGUCAAAAAGCAUAGCCUCUCCAAUAGCUCUUGUGUACCUUCAUUCAGUGCCUUUACAGCCUAUAAAUAGAAGGCCAAUAUCCAGAAUCAAGACAAGAAAUUCAAGUGCUAAGAAAUCCAUAAAUCAAUCACAUACAUACUUGAAAUUCGGCAAAACAGAGACAAUCAUACAUUCUGCUUUUUGCGAAACAACUACUGAUUCAUAUUCAUUGAAGGUAAAAAAAAUAAGAUCUCAAUUCAAGAUUGAUCUUGGCAGUGAUGAAGAUCGAUCUUGGUUUUGUUGAAACAACAAUAUCAAUCUUGGUUUGCUUUAAAAAUAGUAAAAUCAAUUUUAUCAAAAUAUGAUUUGAUUGUAAUGCAUAAAAUAAAUAGAGAUAGAGAUAGAGAUAGAGAGAUCACACAAGGAUAUAUCCUGGUUCACCCAACCCGGGUUACGUCCAGUCCUCACAACCGUGAGAUUUUUCACUAAAUGUUCAAACCAAGAUCGUUCUUGGUUUUCAUGGAUCAAUCUUGAUCUUUACACAAUUCCUACCCUUCUACCUAGAAAGGAUUUCUUCAAUUCUACCUUACUGUUUUGGAAAGGCUUUAACAAGUUACCUUUCAAAACAUGAAAGGAUUUUUACAAUUUACUCAAGAUUUGACAAAACAACCUUGAGUUACAAAGUGAUGGAUUUGAGACUAUUUAGAAUCUUGAUAUUUACUCAACUCUUGUUUGAGAAAUAUAUUCUGUAAAUAGACCUCAGUUGUAAAUGAUUACAACACAAAGAUUAAAACAAAACAGCAAACUAUAAGAAAGGUUUUGAGACACUUGAGUAUGAUCGAAAAUAUUGAUCUUUUGCUUGGUGUUGAUUGUUGUGUGUUGUUCUUCAACUUGCAGCUGCAUUUAUAGACUCCAAGAAGGCUUAUGACAGCUCAUGUGACUGUUGGAAAGGAACCAGCUGUCAUAAAAGAGUUGUUGGAUAAAUUCUGCCAAAAGCAAGAUUGAUGAGCUGUAUCAAAAGAUCGAUCCAAGAUUGAUCUUUUGGUUUGUGAUGAACUGGCCUUGUACUUUGUGAUUUGUGUCAGUAUGUCAGCCUUGAGUACUGCUUUUCUGUUACUUGUGCAGGCUUUAGAAUAGUUCAAAUCAGUAGUGUACUUUGCUACUUGUAGUCUUGUACUUGCAUUUGCUUUUCAAGAGGAAUGAUCUUUGUGAUAUGCCUUUAUUGAAGCAUGCCUUUGAUUCUUCAAAUUCUGGAAUAUAUAUGACUUGGAUGGAUCUUUUGUUGAUUAUAUGAGAGUAUAGGAUGAAAAUUAUUUCCAGGAUUGAUGUUUGUUUUCCAGAACUGCUUCAAGAUCAAUCUGCGUUUUCCAGAACUGCUUCAAGAUCAAUCUGCAUUUUCCAGAACUGCUUUAAGAUCAAUCUGCGUUUUCCAGAACUGCUUCAAGAUCAUUCUGCGUUUUCCAGAAUUGCUUUCUUUGAUCUGAUUUGUGAUGUUUGAUUCCUAUCUUGUUUUAACACACUCAAAUGCACAUGUUAAAUAUCAAAACACUUAGAAUCAUAAUUAGAAUUCUUAAUUAACUUUUUGUUUGUUUUCAUCAAAACAUUAAAUUGAGAUUUUGUCUCAACAAUCUCCCCCUUUUUGAUGAUGACAAACAUGUUAAUUUAGAUUUUAAUUUUGAUUCUAAUUUUAAUCAUAGAGAGCUUUAAAAGCUCCCCCUCAGAAUAUGCUUCAGAUUUUUGAACCAACAUAAAAUCUAAACAUAAAAUCUAAAAUAAUUCUCCCCCUUUGUCAACACAAAAAGGUUUGGAUUUUACAAAGGAAAUGUAUACUACACAUUGAAAACAAUGAGUAGACUCCAGUUUUUAGAUGAAAAACUCCCCCUGAAUUUUAAAGAAUUAAUAUCCCCCUUAAAAAAAAUCAGAAUACAAGGAAAAUGCCAUUAUGCUCUUUGUUAUCUUUUACAAGAGACAACAUUUUAAUUUUGAACAUGAUAAUAAGCGCAUACAUGGAAGCGAAAUAAGAUGAUACAUGUACCUUUGAUUUGUUAAUGUUUCCAAGGGUUAUAGACACUCCAAAUUUUUGUAAUGAGAUGAGGCAUCAUACUUUUCCAUUCAUGUGUAUUGAGAAUGCCUUGGUCAUGUAUCAAUGUUCUUUCUUGAUUGUUGGAUGAUGUUCCUACAUCACAAGUUUGUAAUGAUUUUGGUACCCAUAUUUGUUUGGGUCCUUGGGAGUUAGCCUUGAAAUCUGGUUUCAUAUUGUUAAAUGAUUUCUCAGAAUGAUCAAUCUUAGACUGAGAAGAAUCUCUUUUUGAAACUGGUUUAAAAAACUGGGCAUUAGUUGUUUCUGAUAAGCCUCCAGAUCGAUCUGAAGAUCGUUCUUGCUUUUUCAGUUUUUCAGAAAAAUCUGUUUUUACUGUCAAAUGUUCUUCCCUUUUGAAGAUUCUCCUAUUCUUGUUUUUGUUAUCCCUUUUUUUAAAGUAACAUGCAAAUUCUAAAUGUCCAAUUUUGUCACAAUAUGAGCAUUUGAUUUUGCAUUUUUCUUCUCUUAGUUCAGGAACAAAGAAAGUUUCAUACAUUUUGGUUUUUUGAGUUUUGUCAAAACCGAGCCCAGCUUUAUCAAAAAUCCCUACUUGAGAUCCCAUGAUUUUCUGAAAUGUCUCAGUUGCCUUAAUAAAAUUUUUCAAAUCAUUUUUAAGAGUUUCAACUUCAGCCUUGAGAAGAUCGUUCUUCGUUUGAGGUGAAGAUUGAUCUUGGUUUUCUGGUUUUUCAAAUUCAAGAUUUUUGAGCUGAGAUUCUUUCAGAUUUUGAAUGAUCUCUUUAAGUUUAUCAUUCAUAGCCUGAAUUUUCUCUUUCUCUUCUUUUUCUUUGUGAAAUCUUUCUUUAAAAGAACUACAUUUUUGAAUGAGAAAGUUUGAAUCAUUUAAUAAAUUAUCAAAUUCGAUUUCCAUUUGUUUGCAUAUAAGACAUGGUUCAGAAUUUACCUCUGUUUCUUCAAUAUCUGCCAUUAAACACAGAUUGGCUUUUUCAGGUUUCUCUGUUUCUGAUUCAUCAGAUUCAUCCCAGGUUGCCAUCAUUGACUUCUUUUUGAAAGGAAAUUUCUUUGGCACCUUUUUGUUUAAUGGACAUUCAGUUUUGUAAUGUCCUUGUUUGUUGCAGCCAAAACAAAUGAUUUUGCUUUUAUCUAUUUCAGUUUUGAAUUCCUUUUUAUCUAGAAAUCCCUUUUUGAUUUGAUCCCUUCUUAUCAACAUUCUUUGUAUCUUUCUUGUAAGACGAACUAUCUCUUUAUCAACAUCUUCUUGUUCGAUUUCUUCUGAGUCCUCAUCUGUUUGUACUGGUGUACUUUCUUGAGAUGCUUUCAAAGCUAUUGUUUUGACCUUUUUGAUUGGUUUGUCUUCUUGUAGCAGCACUUCAUGUGCUCGUAAUGUUCCAAUUAGUUCCUCCAGUCCGAGUACGUCAAGAUUCUUGGCCUGACUUAUGGCUGUCACCAUUGGUCUCCAUAUUAUUGGAAGACAUCUCAUGAUCUUUCUGACUCUGUCUUGUACUGAGUAUGCUUUCCCUAAAGAGCGCAUUUCAUUUACAAUGGUUGUGAAUCUUGAGUACAUCUCAUCAAUGGUUUCUCCUUCAUUCAUUUCAAAGAGUUCAAACUUUCUUAUGCCUAUAUCAAUCCUUGUUUCUUUUACAUGGCUUGUUCCUUCGUGAUGAGUUUGUAAUGUGUCCCAUACUUCUUUAGCAGUUUUGCAUUCAUCAACUCUUUCGCAUUCUUCUCUGCUCAAAGCGCACGAUAAGAAUAAAUGAGCUUUAGAGUUUAGGAGUACCUUAGAUUUUUCUUCUGUUGUCCAAUCUGCUUCUUUCUUUUCAGCAGAGGUUGAAUCAUUUUGGUCGACUCUUGGUACGAAAUCUCCAUCUGUAAUGAUGCGCCACAUUCCUGUAUCUUGAGAUUUCAGAAACAACUGCAUUUUUCUUUUCCAGAAAUAGUAGUCUAUGCCACCAAAGUAAGGUGGUCUAUAUGAUGACCCUCCUUCAGCAAUGUACAUAUCUUUUGACAUUUUUCUAGAUCUUUUCUCUAACACUUGUUAGGUGUUGAACUUUUGAGACCGAGCUCUGAUGCCAAUUGAAGGUAAAAAAAAUAAGAUCUCAAUCCAAGAUUGAUCUUGGCAGUGAUGAAGAUCGAUCUUGGUUUUGUUGAAACAACAAUAUCAAUUUUAUCAAUAUAAAAUAUGAUUGUAAAGCAUAAAAUAAAUAGAGAUAGAGAUAGAAAGAGAGAUCACACAAGGAUAUAUCCUGGUUCACCCAACCCGGGUUACGUCCAGUCCUCACAACCGUGAGAUUUUUCACUAAAUGUUCAAACCAAGAUCGUUCUUGGUUUUCAUGGAUCAAUCUUGAUCUUUACACAAUUCCUACCCUUCUACCUAGAAAGGAUUUCUUCAAUUCUACCUUACUGUUUUGGAAAGGCUUUAACAAGUUACCUUUCAAAACAUGAAAGGAUUUUUACAAUUUACUCAAGAUUUGACAAAACAACCUUGAGUUACAAAGUGAUGGAUUUGAGACUAUUUAGAAUCUUGAUAUUUACUCAACUCUUGUUUGAGAAAUAUAUUCUGUAAAUAGACCUCAGUUGUAAAUGAUUACAACACAAAGAUUAAAACAAAACAACAAACUAUAAGAAAGAUUUUGAGACACUUGAGUAUGAUUGAAAAUAUUGAUCUUUUGCUUGGUGUUGAUUGUUGUGUUUUGUUCUUCAACUUGCAGCUGCAUUUAUAGACUCCAAGAAGGCUUAUGACAGCUCAUGUGACUGUUGGAAAGGAACCAGCUGUCAUAAAAGAGUUGUUGGAUAAAUUCUGCCAAAAGCAAGAUUGAUGAGCUGCAUCAGAAGAUCGAUCCAAGAUUGAUCUUCUGGUUUGUGAUGAACUGGACUUGAACUCUGUGAUUUGUGUCAGUAUGUCAGCCUUGAGUACAUGCUUUUCUGUUAUGUGCACAGGCUUUAUAAUAGUUCAAAUCAGUAGUGUACUUUGCUACUUGUAGUCUUGUACUUGCAUUUGCUUUAUAGGAAGAAUGAUCUUUGUGAUAUGCCUUUAUUGAAGCAUACAUUUGAUUCUUCAAAUUCUGGAACAUAUAUGACUUGGAUGGAUCUUUUGUUGAUUAUAUGAGAGUAUAGGAUGAAUAUUGUUUCCAGGAUUGAUCUUUGUUUUCCAGAACUGCUUCAAGAUCAAUCUGCGUUUUCCAGAACUGCUUCAAGAUCAAUCUGCGUUUUUCCAGAAUUGCUUCAAGAUCAAUCUGCAUUUUCCAGAACUGCUUUCUUUGAUCUGAUUUGUGAUGUUUGAUUCCUAUCUUGUUUUAACACACUCAAAUGCACAUGUUAAAUAUCAAAACACUUAGAAUCAUAAUUAGAAUUCUUAAUUAACUUUUUGUUUGUUUUCAUCAAAACAUUAAAUUGAGAUUUUGUCUCAACAAUAUUCAUAUAUUAGUUUGCGCAAUUAUCAUUAGAUCCUUUGUAAAGAAUCAAUUCUCAAACAAGAGUUGAGAAAUCUCAGAUUUUGUCAAAACAAUCAAAUUGUAAAAACUCAAACUAUAAGAGUUUCUUCAUAGUUUGUUUAAGAUUACAUUCUAUCAAGGUUAGAUAGGUUUUGUUAUUGCUUUCUGGAUGGAAAGUAAUAGAGAUUGAAAUAGAUCAAGGUUGAUCUAGACUAGGUGUUGUAAGAUCAAGAAGGUACUUUGUUUUUAAACACAUAGUGGAAAAUCUCACAGUGUGAGGACUGGACGUAACCCACGUUGGCUGAACCAGGAUAAAAUUCUUGAGUGGUAUUUUCUAUCCUAUCUCUUUAUUUAUCAUACUGAAUUGACUAACCAAGAUAAAACAUAAACUGAUUUUCUGUUUUAAGCUAAUCAAGGAAUGUUCUUUGUUUUACAUCAAAAACCAAGAACGUUCUCCGUUUUCUGUUUUUAUAACCAAGAUCAAUCUUGAGUAUUUUUCUUAAGUUUCAACAGGAAUUUUUAAAAGGUCCAUUUACAAUUCAAAUCCCCCUUUCUUGUAAAUCGACAUUGUUACUUCAGUUGAGACCAUGCGUCCAACACUUUCAAAGUCGAAAGUGAUUUUGAUAUAAAAAAAAUGAUUCUUUACUCUUUCAAUUUUUUGCUUUUUUUUCAAUAAUUUGAUAUUAUAAUGUCUAGAUCAACAAUUGUGUAAUAUAAUAAUUGUUAUUUAAUAACUAUCUUGCGAAGAUAGUUCAGUUGAUAAGUUAAGAGAUGUCAAACAAAUCAUAAGAAAUAAAUCAUGUAUUCAAAUUUAAGAAAAUUAAUUUAACUACUAAUAUAUUAAUAUUUAUAUAUAAAAAAAUAAAUUAAAAAAUCCUAAUCGAUGUUAGCAUACCCAUGCCCACAAAAUUUGUGUUAAAUGGAAUUUAAGGUCGACGGAGAAAUCUCCACCGGACGUGGAAGUUCGUGCUUAAUUAUUGUUUAAUUAUGUGGACUCUUUUGAACUCUUGGGACUCUAUCUAUGAAGUUGUUGGAAUUGUAUUAUCAAUUGAAAUGCCUACAUGAGGGACAAAUCAUUUUAAUAAUCAGAUAAUUGAGAUUCCUUUUGGUGUUAAGCUCCUUUUGAUAUGUUUAUUACGUAUUGUAGUUUUUUGAGUUUUGAGUUUUUCUGUCCUUCCUAUUGUUGUGGAGUUUAAUUAGGUGGCAUUUUUUUUAAUAUAUAUUAGGUAUAGACAUAGUUAAUUAAGUAUGCAAUUGGAUUAUGCAUGAUAUCAUUUUUAAGUAGACAUGUAAUUUAUUUACUUAUAUUUUAUUGAUUUGCUGGUUGCAACAAUCUCUUGGGCAGUUACAUAAAGUAGGAGAAGGAGGAGCUAAGACAAAAGACACUAACUUUGAAGGAAAAAGGGUUCAUGCAACAGAGUGUCAAAAAAUUUGUAGUCACAAGUGGCACUUAUUUGAUUUUAUUUAGCCAACAAGUGGCUCUUAUUUGAUAUUAUGAGUCUUUGUUUGUCGGAUUUGAUUCUCAAAGAAUUUCGGCACUUAAUUUUAAAUUUGGUGGGUUCAUAUAAGUUUACAAAAUUUGGACGUGUAUAAUCGAAUUUGACCGAUUAGAAUUUAGGUAUAUAGAUAUAAUUUCAGUUACU
Molecule: long non-coding RNA, 14997 nt
Filed under: Cicer arietinum (chickpea)
Lineage: Eukaryota; Viridiplantae; Streptophyta; Magnoliopsida; Fabales; Fabaceae
Description: long non-coding RNA (CARI_LNC001274)
Source: RNAcentral